Molecule: long non-coding RNA, 463 nt
Filed under: Volvox carteri
Lineage: Eukaryota; Viridiplantae; Chlorophyta; Chlorophyceae; Chlamydomonadales; Volvocaceae
Description: long non-coding RNA (VCAR_LNC002058)
Source: RNAcentral
AAAUCCGGCUCGUACGGCAAUGAAGCGGCAUAGGUCGGGCAGCAAUUGUUCUUCUCGUUGAAGAGGCUCACGUAACUGCACACGUGUGUGAGAGGGAGGUCAGUAGGGAGGGCGGGGCGUGAUGGGUCAUAUAACGCACGGCACAGGGAACAAACGUAAAACGCUGUACAUGGAUUACUAAACCUUUAUGCGUAAGACUAAAACCUGUUUCAAUGGCUUGAACCUGACCGGUCGUGCAGGGUUACACAACUCACCACACACGCUCCCGGCCUACUAGCACCAGCACCGCCUGCUACUCACCACACACGCUCCCCCAGGCAGAAUGUGUCCAGGGGUAUGGUGAGCUCCAAGCAAACCUGGGCGCCGACGGCCGACGUCAGAUUCCAGUUCAGGGGUGUGGCUGCGCACGGAAAGCCAGAGGGCGGAAACACACCUAUGAGUCGCAGGGCGUGCAGAUUACCGA